This 544-nucleotide ribosomal RNA is filed under the name Oridorsalis umbonatus. RNAcentral's name for it is "SSU rRNA". It matches the Rfam family "Eukaryotic small subunit ribosomal RNA", at positions 1220 to 1547 of the family's 1831-position model. The record is from RNAcentral. Lineage: Eukaryota; Foraminifera; Rotaliida; Alabaminidae.
GGGUCCGGACACACUGAGGAUUGACAGGCAAUAUUAAUACGUGUUUCGGCGCGUAUUAUGUUAAAUAUGCUAGUCCUUUCAUGAUUAUGUGAUAGGUGGUGCAUGGCCGUUCUUAGUUCGUGGAGUGAUCUGUCUGCUUAAUUGCGUUUCACUAAGAAUCUAUCAAUACGUGCGUUGCGGCACUUUGACCCCUCUCUGAGCGCGCGUCUUAGUUGCUUAGCUCGCACAAUUAGGUCCUGAAAGCAACGAACGUGACCGCAACCUCUUGUUGCCUUUAUACCAAACAUUUUUGCUGUUCUCAGCAUUAAUGCAAAAAGGCUUUUUAAACUAGAGGGACCGCUGUUACUUUCUUAAACCAGAGGAAGGUUGCGGCAAUAACAGGUCUGUGAUGCCCUUAGAUGUUCCGGGCUGCACACGUGCUACAAUGAUUGUUGCAGUGAGCAUCUCAUUUUUACACACCGCAUGCGCGAGUCCGUUUAUUCGCUUCUGUGUUUUAAACGUGUAUUUCUGCGCGCGGUAAAGCCUGCUUCGAGAGUAAGUGGGU